AGUGAACGCUGGCGGUAGGCCUAACGCAUGCAAGUCGAACGGCAGCACAGUAAGAGCUUGCUCUUACGGGUGGCGAGUGGCGGACGGGUGAGGAAUACAUCGGAAUCUACUUUUUCGUGGGGGAUAACGUAGGGAAACUUACGCUAAUACCGCAUACGACCUACGGGUGAAAGCAGGGGAUCUUCGGACCUUGCGCGAUUGAAUGAGCCGAUGUCGGAUUAGCUAGUUGGCGGGGUAAAGGCCCACCAAGGCGACGAUCCGUAGCUGGUCUGAGAGGAUGAUCAGCCACACUGGAACUGAGACACGGUCCAGACUCCUACGGGAGGCAGCAGUGGGGAAUAUUGGACAAUGGGCGCAAGCCUGAUCCAGCCAUACCGCGUGGGUGAAGAAGGCCUUCGGGUUGUAAAGCCCCUUUGUUGGGAAAGAAAAGCAGCAGGUUAAUACCCCGCUGUUCUGACGGUACCCAAAGAAUAAGCACCGGCUAACUUCGUG
RNAcentral lists this ribosomal RNA (492 nucleotides) under uncultured bacterium. RNAcentral describes it as "partial 16S ribosomal RNA". It matches the Rfam family "Bacterial small subunit ribosomal RNA", at positions 29 to 507 of the family's 1533-position model. The record is from RNAcentral.